AUACGUAGGGUGCGAGCGUUAAUCGGAAUUACUGGGCGUAAAGGGUGCGCAGGCGGUUUUAUAAGCCAGAUGUGAAAUCCCCGGGCUCAACCUGGGAACUGCAUUUGGGACUGUAAGACUAGAGUACGGCAGAGGGGGGUAGAAUUCCACGUGUAGCAGUGAAAUGCGUAGAUAUGUGGAGGAAUACCGAUGGCGAAGGCAGCCCCCUGGGUCGAUACUGACGCUCAGGCACGAAAGCGUGGGGAGCAAACAGGAUUAGAUACCCUAGUAGUCC
Molecule: ribosomal RNA, 274 nt
Filed under: uncultured bacterium
Lineage: Bacteria
Description: partial 16S ribosomal RNA
Rfam family: Bacterial small subunit ribosomal RNA
Source: RNAcentral